Molecule: ribosomal RNA, 209 nt
Filed under: Minutocellus polymorphus
Lineage: Eukaryota; Bacillariophyta; Thalassiosirophyceae; Cymatosirales; Cymatosiraceae
Description: partial Eukaryotic large subunit ribosomal RNA
Rfam family: Eukaryotic large subunit ribosomal RNA
Source: RNAcentral
UGUGUAACAACUCACCUGCCGAAUCAACUAGCCCCGAAAAUGGAUGGCGCUGAAGCGCGCGACCUAUACUCGGCCAUGGGCGCAAGUGCGAAGCUCCCAUGAGUAGGAGGGCGUGGGUGUCGUGGCGCAGCCUGCGGCGUGAGCCGGGGUGAAACGGCACCUAGUGCAGAUCUUGGUGGUAGUAGAAAAUAUUCAAAUGAGAACUUUGA